UUGUGUGACCGCGUACUUUUUGUAGAACGGGCCAACGAGUUACGUUAAGUAGCAAGGUUAAGCACUUAAGGUGUGGAGCCGUAGCGAAAGCGAGUUUUAACUGAGCGUUCAGUUACUUGACGUAGACACGAAACCGGGCGACCUACCCAUGAGCAGGAUGAAGCGAAAGUAAAAUUUCGUGGAGGUCCGAACCCACGAGCG
RNAcentral lists this ribosomal RNA (201 nucleotides) under Clostridioides difficile. Its description in RNAcentral is "partial 23S ribosomal RNA". It matches the Rfam family "Bacterial large subunit ribosomal RNA", at positions 589 to 788 of the family's 2925-position model. The record is from RNAcentral. Lineage: Bacteria; Bacillati; Bacillota; Clostridia; Peptostreptococcales; Peptostreptococcaceae.